AGUGAAUCUGAGAAACCUCCCCUCUCUAGCGUGAGCAAACGAUGACUCUUCACUUUCUCUGGAACACAUGUUAAGCUGAAACCAUGAUCAAGCAGGGGUUAAUUAUAAGGUACCGCGAGAACCUUCGAGAGAUGAGAGGCGUUCUUCUCCCUCCCAAGAGUCUGCCAAGUCUUUGGUCUGUCUUUCCUGAAGGUACUGUUGGUGACUUCUGUUUAAGGACAAAAACCCAGAAUUUUCCAGGCCUUGGACCCAGAACUGGCCAAGAUUCCCUGCCCUGGGGUGGCCAGAAGUAGCCCAGACUCCAGCACCAUGCAAGCCUGACCCAAGCUGAAUGCUGGUGACCAGUAAAUACCUAAGUUCCAAGGUGCUUCCUUGGAUGUACUGAAUUAAUGAGACCUCCGGGGUACUCCCUGAAGUGACUGAGAUAUGCUUUCCUCUAGGCUGACCAGAGAGCUGGAGCAGAUUAAAUUUGACUUACAGGGAUGGGGGGAGGGGGGAAGAGUGACGUUUCUUGCUCCUUAGUAUUCUGGACUGAAGUUGAUGCUCACAACACUACCCCCCUCCCCCGUUGGGGUGUGUUUAUCAUUACAGACAAACAUAUACACAUUUGCAAAAACACUGCAGAGGAUUUGGGGGAGGGUGCCGCAAGGUGUGCUAUAUUUUUCUUUUAAUUUAAAUACUUAUAUUAAAGCAAGC
This is a long non-coding RNA of Canis lupus familiaris (dog), 696 nucleotides long. RefSeq lists it as uncharacterized. The record is from RefSeq and is a predicted model, not a curated record. Lineage: Eukaryota; Metazoa; Chordata; Mammalia; Carnivora; Canidae. The transcript has 3 exons.